This is a long non-coding RNA of Eptesicus fuscus (big brown bat), 1460 nucleotides long. RefSeq lists it as uncharacterized. The record is from RefSeq and is a predicted model, not a curated record. The transcript has 6 exons. NCBI's taxonomy places the organism in Eukaryota, Metazoa, Chordata, Mammalia, Chiroptera, Vespertilionidae.
CUCGCGGAGACGUUUGUUUUGCGCGGAGUGUGUAUGAUUUUCAUUCGCUGUUCGGGAUCCGGCAUCAUAAAACCUUAUCUUCUGUUGAACAAAUUUGCAGGCGUGAACAGCAAGCACCAGGUUGCCUGUUAGAUUCUAACAGAAGUCCCCUGGUUUCCUAGUCUUUUGAUUUCCCCUGUUGGCCACCUGGUGCCACAAGAGACAGCUGACCGGCGGAGAAAAGCAGCUCUAGGCCCGGCUUCCCGCAACCGCCCCCCCCCCCCCCCCCCCGCCCUCCUCUUGCUUGCUGACACGGAUAUACAGGUCUCACCCCGCCGUGAGAGAAUGUAAUAAAAUUUCUUAAACUCUCACAAGGUCUCUAGGCCUGGCUCCUUGUCGGCGGGGCCCUAACAGUUGGGUGCUGAAAUCCAGGAUACACAGGAGGAGCCCGUAGGGACCCCCGUCCCGGCUGCAGGCUUCUCCAGAACACACCGGCCACUCCAAUUUCUGAGCCGGGAGACUGGAUAUUCUUCCAGCAUCCAGCAGCCCGGGGACCCUAAAACCCAGGUGGACCGGCCCACACCAGGUACUUCUGACCACACCGAAGGCGGCCAAGUUACAGGGAUAUUCUUCCUCACUCCACUCCUCUUCAGUUGAAGUGAGCCCCUGCACCCCAGGCUCCACCAGUCUGUUUGUAUUGGAGUGUCAGCCUCGGACCAACCCGCCUCAAAUUCACAAAAAUUCCCAAGGAACUAAGUCCUGGAGUAGGUAGAGAGAAGACUCAGUGGAAUCCUAUUUUCUUUUCAUUAUCCGGAAAACAGAGAUUUGGAAAGCUUAGAAACUUGACCCGACUAAAAAGAGACCAUUCCUCCAACUUCUUCCCAGUCUAAGAAGAGUUGACCAUGAGAAUGUCCUUGGUGUAAUUUAUCACAACUACAUAGAAGUAAAGCAAAAUCCAUAACAACUGUGGAUGAAGGACAGAGCACAGAGGAUAAUAACAACUUUUAAGCAUAAAGAAAUUCAAUAAUCCUCACAAGUACAUUGCAGCUAAAGAAUAGUCUACGUUACACUCAAGAGUUUUGUUGUCCUGUAAUGUAUACCUAACCAAAUAUCAAAGCAACAGUUUAGUGCAUGUAAAAACAAUCACAGCACACUAUGGUUUAAAUGUCAAGGCAAGUCAAUUCAUCUCGGCCAUGCUAAAGAGAAUUCAUUGGUGAAAGAUAAAAUCUCACGAUAAAAUAUAUCAUGGGACGCAAAAAGUUUGCUUCUUACUGAAAGAUUUAAAGAUUUUUCUCCAUCCUCACCAAGGAAUUUAAAAAAGAAAGAAAAAAGCAAAAAGAAAAUACAUUAAAAAGAGGUAACCCAUUAACUACCCUCAAAGGAAACAUUGUGCAACACAGAAAGAUCUACCUGGGAGCUCAACAUCGGAGAAGUAUGUCUGGUUCAGCUUUCGUGUCUUCCUUUAUGUGCAUAAAAGCAUA